AAAAAAGAAGAAGAAGAAGAAGAAGAAGAAGAAGAAGGGGUGGUUGACUAGUGGCUAGGUCAAGAUAGUUUAAAGAAAAUAGUGUUGGGAAGAAAGAGUGAUAAAAGAAAAUAGUAUUGGGAAGUCUAUGCAAAUAUAUCUGAAUCUAUAACAAAAGUUCAUACAAAAGUAUGGAACUCUAUAACAAAAGCCUAUACAAGUUUAUUAAAAAUUCAGGUAAAACCUAUAGAAGUUAUACAAUUCCGGGAAAUCAGGAAAUCUGUCACUUAAAAAAAAAUCUUUCAAAAUCGUAUACAAUCCUAAUUGAAUACAACCCCCUAAGUUUUCUAAUUCUUUUUUUUUUUUAGUACAAACGAUAGUCUAAAUGAGACGGGAGGGAGAUUUCACACACACACACACAACUAUGAUGUCGUGGGAUUUGAACUUGAAACCUUUGGUCUGUAAGUCAAGACCCUUAUUUAAGUUCUCUAAUUUAUGACUUCCCUAUUUCUGGUAAGUAAACAUGCCUCGAAAGAGUAACAUUAGAUGACUCCUAUAUAGGCAAAUGCUUGGACCCCUUUCCAUUUAUGGGCUUCACUAUGGGCCAAGAUAGGCCCACACAAACAAAAUCCAUAUUGUGGUCUAUUACUUAACAACAUAUCAACAACCAUCCUCGAAAAUGAGAAUAUUUGGAU
This 674-nucleotide long non-coding RNA is filed under the name Prunus persica (peach). RNAcentral describes it as "long non-coding RNA (PPER_LNC006479)". Lineage: Eukaryota; Viridiplantae; Streptophyta; Magnoliopsida; Rosales; Rosaceae. The record is from RNAcentral.